Molecule: ribosomal RNA, 1204 nt
Filed under: metagenome
Description: bacterial LSU rRNA
Rfam family: Bacterial large subunit ribosomal RNA
Source: RNAcentral
UAAGGAGGACCCCAGUAGCGUGAUGAGACUUGCUCUCUGAGCGUGAAGGGGUGGCACAAAAUUGAGGGAAGCGACUGUUUACCAAAAACACAGCAGCGUGCUAAGCCGUAAGGCGCUGUAUACGCUGUGACUCCUGCCCGGUGCUGGAAGGUUACGGGGAUGGGUUAGUCCUUCGGGACGAAGCUCUGAACCUAAGCCCCAGUAAACGGCGGCCGUAACUAUAACGGUCCUAAGGUAGCGAAAUUCCUUGUCGGGUAAGUUCCGACCUGCACGAAUGGAGUAACGACUUCCCUACUGUCUCAACCAUAGACCCAGCGAAAUUGAAGUACGAGUAAAGAUGCUCGUUAGCUGCAGAAGGACGGAAAGACCCCGUGGACCUUUACUAUAACUUGAUGUUGUGUUUUGUCAUAUGUUGUGUAGGAUAGGUGGGAGACUUGGAAGCAUGGACGCUAGUCUGUGUGGAGUCAUCGUUGAAAUACCACCCUGCAUAUGGUGAGGCUCUAACCUAGACCCGUUAUCCGGGUUGGGGACAGCGUCAGGCGGGUAGUUUAACUGGGGCGGUUGCCUCCUAAAGAGUAACGGAGGCGCCCAAAGGUUCCCUCAGCCUGGUUGGCAAUCAGGCGUUGAGUGCAAUGGCAAAAGGGAGCUUGACUGCGAGACCUACAAGUCGAGCAGGAGCGAAAGCUGGGCAUAGUGAUCCGGCGGUUGCGUGUGGAAGCGCCGUCGCUCAACGGAUAAAAGGUACCCCGGGGAUAACAGGCUAAUCUUGCCCAAGCGUCCAUAGCGACGGCAAGGUUUGGCACCUCGAUGUCGGCUCAUCGCAUCCUGGGGCUGAAGCAGGUCCCAAGGGUUGGGCUGUUCGCCCAUUAAAGCGGUACGCGAGCUGGGUUCAGAACGUCGUGAGACAGUUCGGUCCCUAUCCUCUGCAGCCGGAGGUGAAUUGAGGAAAGCUGUCCCUAGUACGAGAGGACCGGGACGGACGCAGCUCUCGUGUGCCAGUUGUCCUGCCAAGGGCAUGGCUGGUUAGCGACCUGCGGAAAGGAUAACCGCUGAAAGCAUCUAAGCGGGAAGCCUCUUCCAAGAUGAAUUCACCCACAGGGUUAACCUGGUAAGGCCCGUGGUAGACCACCACGUUGAUAGGCCGGAAGUGUAAGCGUGGCAACACGUUCAGCUGACCGGUACUAAUCGGCCGAGGGCUUGAGUC